CACGAACUGUCACACUUCGCGAGGCGGCCCUCAUUGUUCGGAGUUCGGGGUAUCCCAGUACAAAGACACCAAUCGGCGGUCGACAGCUGCCGCUGACGUCCUGGUUGGUACUCGCAGUAUAAUACAUAGUUGGGACCAGCAGGAUCUAGAUCUAGUGCUAGACAGUGCCAGCACGGUGCCAGUAGAGUCUCCCUCCUGGAACUAAGUGGGAAAAGAGCGGCCUUCACGGCGUGCGUGCGUGUAACCAGAAAACACAGAGAGAGGGUUUGGGGGCUUAGCUUCAGUGGUCGUGUUUGAGUUUGACGCAUUCUUCUGUUGGACAGUUAGGUGUUGGCUCUGGCGAACGAGGAGGUUUUUACCUGCCUUUUUUCCGACUGAGACAAUGGAUGACAGAGUUAAUCUCUGGCCCCGACUUUUCUAAAGAGACUGGAGUACCACUGUUGUUGUAGUCUUAUGAAAGUCUUUAUUUCUCUCUCUUUAAAAAAAAAAAAGACCUGCCAUCGUGGAGUCACUAUAUUAUUAUCUUCAUAGCUUUGGAUUUCAUUCAAAAGCUUAAAGGAUAAAAAGAACACACUGUCGGAAGAUUAACUCCGCGUUGGUUUUGUGAAUUCAAGGGACAUUUGUGUACACAGAGCACCAAGAUGCCUGAAGACUCGGUCAAGGUGGCGGUGAGGGUGCGUCCCUUCAACCAGAGGGAGAUGGACCGCCAAGCAAAACUAAUCAUCAAAAUGCAGGGCUCAAUGACCAGCAUACAAAACCCAGAGACUCCAAG
Aplysia californica (California sea hare) is the source of this 772-nucleotide long non-coding RNA. RefSeq lists it as uncharacterized. Lineage: Eukaryota; Metazoa; Mollusca; Gastropoda; Aplysiida; Aplysiidae. The transcript has 3 exons. The record is from RefSeq and is a predicted model, not a curated record.